CCUCAGCCCAAAGCUCCUUCUGCUAAAACCACUCAACAACCAGCUCAAGGUGGUUCCAUAUUCGUUGCAAACUUGCCUAUGGAUGCGACUCCAGAGCAACUGUUUGAAACAUUUAAAGGCUUUGGAGCUAUUAGAAGAGGCGGCAUCCAAGUCAGAAGCUACACGGAACAAAGAAACUGUUUUGGGUUUGUGGCCUUUGAAAAUAGUGAAUCGAU
Long non-coding RNA from Brassica oleracea var. oleracea, 215 nucleotides. RefSeq lists it as uncharacterized. The transcript has 2 exons. NCBI's taxonomy places the organism in Eukaryota, Viridiplantae, Streptophyta, Magnoliopsida, Brassicales, Brassicaceae. The record is from RefSeq and is a predicted model, not a curated record.